UGAAUACGAGAUGCUACGGCAUCGAAGCAGUCUAUGUCAUACUUCCAAGAAAAGCUUGCACUGUCAUAAACAAAUAAUGCCUGUACCAUAACCGACACAGGUGGGUAGGUAGAGUAUACUAAGGGGCGCGAGAUAACUCUCUCUAAGGAACUCGGCAAAAUGACUCCGUAACUUCGGGAGAAGGAGUGCCUUAUUUUAUAAGGUUGCAAUAACAAGAUCCAAGCAACUGUUUACCGAAAACACAGGUCUCCGCUAAGUCGUAAGACGAUGUAUGGGGGCUGACGCCUGCCCAGUGCCAGAAGGUUAAAGAAGUUGGUUAGCAUUAGCGAAGCUGAUAACUGAAGCCCUGGUGAACGGCGGCCGUAACUAUAACGGUCCUAAGGUAGCGAAAUUCCUUGUCGGGUAAGUUCCGACCCGCACGAAAGGCGUAAUGAUUUGGAUACUGUCUCGGAGAGGGGCUCGGUGAAAUAGACUUGUCUGUGAAGAUGCGGACUACCUGCACCAGGACAGAAAGACCCUAUGAAGCUUUACUGUAACUUGAGAUUGAAAUUGGACUUUAUUUGCGCAGUAUAGGUGGGAGACGUUGAAAAUAUUCUUGCGGGAAUAUUGGAGUCAUCAGUGAGAUACCACUCUUAUAAUGUUAGAUUUCUAACUUUGUAUCAUUAUCUGGUCAAAGAACAGUCUCAGGCGGGCAGUUUGACUGGGGCGGUCGCCUCCCAAACGGUAACGGAGGCGCACAAAGGUUUCCUCUGAACGUGUAGAAAUCGUAUCUAGAGUGUAAAGGCAUAAGGAAGCUUGACUGUGAGACCUACAAGUCGAGCAGGGACGAAAGUCGGUCUUAGUGAUCUGACGGUGCUGAGUGGAAAGGCCGUCACUCAACGGAUAAAAGUUACUCUAAGGAUAACAGGCUGAUCUCCCCCAAGAGUUCACAUCGACGGGGAGGUUUGGCACCUCGAUGUCGGCUCAUCGCAUCCUGGGGCGGUAGUACGUCCCAAGGGUUGGGCUGUUCGCCCAUGAAAGCGGUACGCGAGCUGGGUUCAGAACGUCGUGAGACAGUUCGGUCCAUAUCCGGUGUAGGCGUUAGAAUAUUGAGAGGAGCCUUCUUUAGUACGAGAGGACCGAGAAGGACAUACCUCUGGUGUACCAGUUAUCGUGCCAACGGUAAACGCUGGGUAGCUAUGUAUGGAGAGGAUAACCGCUGAAAGCAUCUAAGUGGGAAGCCCACCUCAAGAUAAGUAUCC
This 1241-nucleotide ribosomal RNA is filed under the name metagenome. RNAcentral's name for it is "bacterial LSU rRNA". It matches the Rfam family "Bacterial large subunit ribosomal RNA", at positions 1564 to 2813 of the family's 2925-position model. The record is from RNAcentral.